AAAUAAGAAGCAAUAUUUGCAUUUAAUUUCGACUUAAAAAUAGAGAAUUUAUUUUCUCCUUAUUU
RNAcentral lists this transfer RNA (65 nucleotides) under Meroptera pravella. RNAcentral describes it as "tRNA-Arg". Lineage: Eukaryota; Metazoa; Arthropoda; Insecta; Lepidoptera; Pyralidae. The record is from RNAcentral.